RNAcentral lists this transfer RNA (86 nucleotides) under Verrucomicrobiota bacterium. Its description in RNAcentral is "Verrucomicrobia bacterium (rhizosphere metagenome) tRNA-Leu". It matches the Rfam family "tRNA". Rfam says of the family: Transfer RNA (tRNA) molecules are approximately 80 nucleotides in length. Their secondary structure includes four short double-helical elements and three loops (D, anti-codon, and T loops). Further hydrogen bonds mediate the characteristic L-shaped molecular structure. tRNAs have two regions of fundamental functional importance: the anti-codon, which is responsible for specific mRNA codon recognition, and the 3' end, to which the tRNAs corresponding amino acid is attached (by aminoacyl-tRNA synthetases). tRNAs cope with the degeneracy of the genetic code in two manners: having more than one tRNA (with a specific anti-codon) for a particular amino acid; and 'wobble' base-pairing, i.e. permitting non-standard base-pairing at the 3rd anti-codon position. Lineage: Bacteria; Pseudomonadati; Verrucomicrobiota. The record is from RNAcentral.
GCCGAUGUGGCGGAACUGGCAGACGCGCUGGACUCAAAAUCCAGUUUCCUUCACCGGAAGUGUGGGUUCGAUCCCCUCCAUCGGCA